UACGGAGGGUGCAAGCGUUGUUCGGAAUCAUUGGGCGUAAAGCGCGUGUAGGCGGCUUGGCAAGUCGGUUGUGAAAGCCCGGGGCCCAACCCCGGAAUUGCAUCUGAAACUGCCUGGCUAGAGUCCCGGAGAGGAAGGCAGAAUUCCCGGUGUAGGGGUGAAAUCCGUAGAUAUCGGGAGGAAUACCAGCGGCGAAGGCGGCCUUCUGGACGGUGACUGACGCUGAGACGCGAAAGCGUGGGGAGCAAACAGG
This 253-nucleotide ribosomal RNA is filed under the name uncultured bacterium. RNAcentral's name for it is "partial 16S ribosomal RNA". It matches the Rfam family "Bacterial small subunit ribosomal RNA", at positions 524 to 776 of the family's 1533-position model. The record is from RNAcentral.